UUGACCUCGGAUCAGGUAGGAAUACCCGCGGAACUUAA
RNAcentral lists this ribosomal RNA (38 nucleotides) under Fusarium equiseti. RNAcentral describes it as "partial 28S ribosomal RNA". Lineage: Eukaryota; Fungi; Ascomycota; Sordariomycetes; Hypocreales; Nectriaceae. The record is from RNAcentral.